GAUGAACGCUGGCGGCGUGCCUAAUACAUGCAAGUCGAGCGAACAGACGAGGAGCUUGCUCCUCUGACGUUAGCGGCGGACGGGUGAGUAACACGUGGAUAACCUACCUAUAAGACUGGGAUAACCUCGGGAAACCGGAGCUAAUACCGGAUAAUAUAUUGAACCGCAUGGUUCAAUAGUGAAAGACGGUUUUGCUGUCACUUAUAGAUGGAUCCGCGCCGCAUUAGCUAGUUGGUACGGUAACGGCUUACCAAGGCAACGAUGCGUAGCCGACCUGAGAGGGUGAUCGGCCACACUGGAACUGAGACACGGUCCAGACUCCUACGGGAGGCAGCAGUAGGGAAUCUUCCGCAAUGGGCGAAAGCUUGACGGAGCAACGCCGCGUGAGUGAUGAAGGUCUUCGGAUCGUAAAACUCUGUUAUUAGGGAAGAACAAAUGUGUAAGUAACUAUGCACGUCUUGACGGUACCUAAUCAGAAAGCCACGGCUAACUACGUG
RNAcentral lists this ribosomal RNA (497 nucleotides) under uncultured bacterium. RNAcentral's name for it is "partial 16S ribosomal RNA". It matches the Rfam family "Bacterial small subunit ribosomal RNA", at positions 28 to 507 of the family's 1533-position model. The record is from RNAcentral.